This 253-nucleotide ribosomal RNA is filed under the name uncultured bacterium. RNAcentral's name for it is "partial 16S ribosomal RNA". It matches the Rfam family "Bacterial small subunit ribosomal RNA", at positions 524 to 776 of the family's 1533-position model. The record is from RNAcentral.
UACGUAGGGGGCAAGCGUUAUCCGGAUUUACUGGGUGUAAAGGGGGCGCAGACGGCGAUGCAAGCCAGGAGUGAAAGCCCGGGGCCCAACCCCGGGACUGCUCUGGAAACUGCAUGGCUGGAGUACAGGAGGGGCAGGCGGAAUUCCUAGUGUAGCGGUGAAAUGCGUAGAUAUUAGGAGGAACACCGGUGGCGAAGGCGGCCUGCUGGACUGUGACUGACGUUGAGGCCCGAAGGCGUGGGGAGCAAACAGG